GGUUUCAUGGUACAACAGUCAUUACAUCUACUUGACAUGCAGAAAAUUCUGGGUUCAAUUCCCAGUGGAACCA
RNAcentral lists this transfer RNA (73 nucleotides) under Pteropus alecto (black flying fox). It matches the Rfam family "tRNA". Rfam says of the family: Transfer RNA (tRNA) molecules are approximately 80 nucleotides in length. Their secondary structure includes four short double-helical elements and three loops (D, anti-codon, and T loops). Lineage: Eukaryota; Metazoa; Chordata; Mammalia; Chiroptera; Pteropodidae. The record is from Rfam by way of RNAcentral.